GGUGCCAUAGCUCAGUUGGUAGAGCAAAGGACUGAAAAUCCUUGUGUCGCUGGUUCGAUUCCAGCUGGCACCACCU
RNAcentral lists this transfer RNA (76 nucleotides) under Flavobacteriales bacterium. Its description in RNAcentral is "tRNA-Phe". It matches the Rfam family "tRNA". From Rfam's summary of the family: Transfer RNA (tRNA) molecules are approximately 80 nucleotides in length. Their secondary structure includes four short double-helical elements and three loops (D, anti-codon, and T loops). The record is from RNAcentral. Lineage: Bacteria; Pseudomonadati; Bacteroidota; Flavobacteriia; Flavobacteriales.